Long non-coding RNA from Pteronotus mesoamericanus, 475 nucleotides. RefSeq lists it as uncharacterized. Lineage: Eukaryota; Metazoa; Chordata; Mammalia; Chiroptera; Mormoopidae. The transcript is spliced from 3 exons. The record is from RefSeq and is a predicted model, not a curated record.
CUGGGAGGCGGGCCAUCGGCCUCCGCGGAGGGCCGUGGGGGGCGUGGCCCGCGAGGAACUCGUCAUGCCGUUGGCGCGGCGUCUGUCUGACCGGGGUCGCCCGGGCCCCACGUCGGGGCCAUGAGGGCGCGCAGCAUUUAAGGUCUCGGCCCAGAGGACAACAGCCUUUGUGGGGAAGAGCAACCCUGUGGGCCAGACGCCUGCCCACCCCUUAGCCAGCCCCCCGGAUCAAGAGGCUGCCGCCUGCCGGAUCUGGCCCCUGCUCUCAAAGUGGGCAUUCUGCCAUGGGAGGGGACAGGGCUGAGCCUGAAGCCCCCGACGCUGGGCCUCUGGGCCCCCGAAGCCCUGGGCGCGAGCAGGCGCUCUCGCACCUGCUGAACCUGCUUCGGUCAGCAGGCCACACGGGGUGUCCUGCACACUGACCAGCUUUGUUAGCAUUUGUAUACUUAAGGAGUGGCCCAGAGACGCCUCAGCG